This is a non-coding RNA of Vicugna pacos (alpaca), 589 nucleotides long. The record is from RefSeq and is a predicted model, not a curated record. NCBI's taxonomy places the organism in Eukaryota, Metazoa, Chordata, Mammalia, Artiodactyla, Camelidae.
CUAGUCUGGCCCACUCAUGUGGGCCACUUGGCACUUGGAGCUCUCGCUGCAAAUUGAUACACUAACAACUGGUUUAGAUCAAUCCUCUGUGAGUGUUGGUCUGAGUGAGCCUUGCUGAGUCUCUUCCUCUGGGGACUGACAAGAUCCCGUUUCCAGGCUUGUGAGGCUGAGGACCAGUCCCUGGACUGGGAAUCGUGCUGAAGAAGUCAAACACCAGAAGAUGUCCAAGGUGCCAUUUUGAUUGGCGGUUUAUGGACACAGCUUUGAGUACAAAGCCUGAAAGAUCUGUGUACUCAGAAGUAACCCAGAGGUCACUCGCUUUGCCCUCGUCCUCUUCCCUGAAGCAUGAGGGGUACUGUUCUCCACUUGACUUCUGCCUCUGCUACUCCAUUUGAGUGCAAAACUGUCCAGAAAAAUGGGAAGGAGUUGGGCUGGCUGCUGGGUUUCUGAGCCUGCAUACCAAUGAAGCUGCUUCUGGAGCUGAGUGUCUUGUGCCCAUAAACCAUGACCUUCGUCAUCUGCAGAGGCAGCCAGCAGUAGCAGUCCCUGUAGAAAUCUUUCCUGUCACAAUUGCAAGGAUGGCAGAGGC